AGCCNUGUAGUGAUUCCCCAUCAAAUUGCAAAUUUGAAAAAGUUCCUUUUUGGUUCCGGGGCUU
RNAcentral lists this transfer RNA (64 nucleotides) under Bavayia ashleyi. Its description in RNAcentral is "tRNA-Cys". Lineage: Eukaryota; Metazoa; Chordata; Lepidosauria; Squamata; Diplodactylidae. The record is from RNAcentral.